Long non-coding RNA from Pecten maximus, 1211 nucleotides. RefSeq lists it as uncharacterized. The record is from RefSeq and is a predicted model, not a curated record. Lineage: Eukaryota; Metazoa; Mollusca; Bivalvia; Pectinida; Pectinidae. The transcript is spliced from 2 exons.
UAAUUUUUUUUUUCUACGAGAUAACCUUUAAUAUAUAUAUUUGCAUCUAAACUAUUAAUAUUUUCUUUUCAGUUUUUAUUUUUUGUUCUCCCAAUUUUGUUCUACAAUUAAUUUUUUCUGUUUGUAUUAAUUUGUUUUCUUCAACUUCAUUCCUUUUUUUUUUCGUCUUACCAAUGAACGUUUCCUCUGAACUUGUAUUAAAAUAUAAUCCUUGUUUUUUUGUUUUUCAACUUUAUUUUUUUCUAGUUUACAUUUAAACUUUUUUUCUUCUAAUCUUUACUCUAGAUUAGUAUUCAAACUUAAUCCGUGUUUUAGUUUUGUUAUUCAACUUAAUGUUUUUAUCUUUAUUUUGUUUUGUUUCACAACUUAAUCUUUGUCUUUUGUUCUACAGCUUAAUCUUAAUUUAGUUUGGAAACAUAUUCUUAAAGUUUUUUAUUCUUACAAUUGUAAUAAUACAAGAGUAUAUAAUGGGAGGGAUUAUACCUUCAGAAGAAUUUUGACAUGUUCACCAUUCCAGAAACGUAGAUUUUCAUUGGUUGUUGCCUAUUUUACCCUAUCACACCUAAACCGGCUAUAUAAAAAGCGCGCCAACUUUGUUAACCGUCACUUGGAUUUUAGCGCAAAAAAAAAAAAAAAAAAAAAUGGAGCCUAUUAUCUACGGCAAAUUUGAAGUUAUCAACCAUACAAAAAAAGAUGGCUCGACAGAACCAUCUUUGUCGACUAGGUUAAAUAGUAAGACAAGUCUCUCUGUUAAUGUUUUUAACGGAGUUGUCUACAUACAUAUCAACAAGAGGGAGAAAAAAUACUAUCUCCCGUUAACAUUGGAUGAAUUUCAGGAUAUGACAGACCUCCGAAGUAGCCUGGAGGAUAACUUACAUUUAAUUAAUCAGGUAAGUGUCAUUUCUAUAAGCAGUAUAAUGUUUAUCAUCAAUUUAUAGCUAGUUUUAAACAGUGUAUUGCACAACACCAUUCAAUUUCCCCACAGGGUCAGAAACAAGAAGAGACAAAACAAAAGGAACUUGGCAAACAAAAGGAUGAGCAACAGGACGAUGUGAGACACGUGGUUGAUCGAAGAAUGCAUCCAUAUCGUAAGAACCCGUCUGGAGCGGCUCAUAAUUACGCCGAAGAAUUUGAGCAGUAUCUAUCGUCAUUUCAAUGAGUUAUCUCCCUUCGCUCACUACAGUAUAUAUAAAUUCAAGCAGUAUCUUCAA